UGGGGAAUAUUGGGCAAUGGGCGAAAGCCUGACCCAGCGACGCCGCAUGAGGGAAGAAGGUCUUCGGAUUGUAAACCUUUGUUGUAAGGGACGAAACAAAUGACGGUACCUUACGAGGAAGCCACGGCUAACUACGUGCCAGCAGCCGCGGUAAUACGUAGGUGGCAAGCGUUAUCCGGAUUUACUGGGUGUAAAGGGUGUGUAGGCGGGAAAGCAAGUCAGAUGUGAAAAUUAUGGGCUCAACCCAUAACCUGCGUCUGAAACUGUUUUUCUUGAGUAUCGGAGAGGUAAGUAGAAUUCCCGGUGUAGCGGUGAAAUGCGUAGAUAUCGGGAGGAAUACCGGCGGCGAAGGCGACUUACUGGACGACAACUGACGCUGAGACACGAAAGUGUGGGGAGCAAACAGGAUUAGAUACCCUGGUAGU
This 425-nucleotide ribosomal RNA is filed under the name uncultured Pseudoflavonifractor sp. RNAcentral's name for it is "bacterial SSU rRNA". It matches the Rfam family "Bacterial small subunit ribosomal RNA", at positions 355 to 794 of the family's 1533-position model. The record is from RNAcentral. Lineage: Bacteria; Bacillati; Bacillota; Clostridia; Eubacteriales; Oscillospiraceae.